AACGAACGCUGGCGGCAUGCCUAACACAUGCAAGUCGAACGAAGGCUUCGGUCUGGUGGCGAGUGGCGAACGGGUGAGUAAUGUAUCGGAACGUGCCCAGUCGUGGGGGAUAACGUAGUGAAAAUUACGCUAAUACCGCAUACGAUCUAUGGAUGAAAGCGGGGGAUCGCAAGACCUCGCGCGAUUGGAGCGGCCGAUAUCAGAUUAGGUAGUUGGUGGGGUAAAGGCCCACCAAGCCAACGAUCUGUAGCUGGUCUGAGAGGACGACCAGCCACACUGGAACUGAGACACGGUCCAGACUCCUACGGGAGGCAGCAGUGGGGAAUUUUGGACAAUGGGCGAAAGCCUGAUCCAGCCAUUCCGCGUGCAGGAUGAAGGCCCUCGGGUUGUAAACUGCUUUUGUACAGAACGAAAAGGUUUCUACUAAUACUAGGAGCUCAUGACGGUACUGUAAGAAUAAGCACCGGCUAACUACGUGCCAGCAGCCGCCGUAA
This 494-nucleotide ribosomal RNA is filed under the name uncultured bacterium. RNAcentral describes it as "partial 16S ribosomal RNA". It matches the Rfam family "Bacterial small subunit ribosomal RNA", at positions 29 to 523 of the family's 1533-position model. The record is from RNAcentral.